UACGGAGGGGGCUAGCGUUGUUCGGAAUUACUGGGCGUAAAGCGCACGUAGGCGGCUUUGUAAGUUAGAGGUGAAAGCCUGGGGCUCAACUCCAGAACUGCCUUUAAGACUGCAUCGCUUGAAUCAUGGAGAGGCGGGUGGAAUUCCGAGUGUAGAGGUGAAAUUCGUAGAUAUUCGGAAGAACACCAGUGGCUAAGGCGGCUCUCUAGUACGGUACUGACGCUGAGACGCGAAAGCGUGGGGAGCGAACAGG
Molecule: ribosomal RNA, 253 nt
Filed under: uncultured bacterium
Lineage: Bacteria
Description: partial 16S ribosomal RNA
Rfam family: Bacterial small subunit ribosomal RNA
Source: RNAcentral